GACGAACGCUGGCGGCGUGCUUAACACAUGCAAGUCGAACGGAAAGGCCCUGCUUUUGUGGGGUGCUCGAGUGGCGAACGGGUGAGUAACACGUGAGUAACCUGCCCUUGACUUUGGGAUAACUUCAGGAAACUGGGGCUAAUACCGGAUAGGAGCUCCUGCUGCAUGGUGGGGGUUGGAAAGUUUCGGCGGUUGGGGAUGGACUCGCGGCUUAUCAGCUUGUUGGUGGGGUAGUGGCUUACCAAGGCUUUGACGGGUAGCCGGCCUGAGAGGGUGACCGGCCACAUUGGGACUGAGAUACGGCCCAGACUCCUACGGGAGGCAGCAGUGGGGAAUAUUGCACAAUGGGCGGAAGCCUGAUGCAGCAACGCCGCGGGCGGGAUGACGGCCUUCGGGUUGUAAACCGCUUUCGCCUGUGACGAAGCGUGAGUGACGGUAUGGGUAAAGAAGCACCGGCUAACUACGUG
RNAcentral lists this ribosomal RNA (467 nucleotides) under uncultured bacterium. RNAcentral describes it as "partial 16S ribosomal RNA". It matches the Rfam family "Bacterial small subunit ribosomal RNA", at positions 28 to 507 of the family's 1533-position model. The record is from RNAcentral.